UACGUAGGGUGCGAGCGUUAAUCGGAAUUACUGGGCGUAAAGCGUGCGCAGGCGGUUCGUUAAGUCAGAUGUGAAAGCCCCGGGCUCAACCUGGGAACUGCAUUUGAAACUGGCGGGCUUGAGUGCGGCAGAGGGGGGUGGAAUUCCGCGUGUAGCAGUGAAAUGCGUAGAGAUGUGGAGGAACACCGAUGGCGAAGGCAGCCCCCUGGGCUAACACUGACGCCUCAUGCACGAAAGCGUGGGGAGCAAACAGG
RNAcentral lists this ribosomal RNA (254 nucleotides) under uncultured bacterium. Its description in RNAcentral is "partial 16S ribosomal RNA". It matches the Rfam family "Bacterial small subunit ribosomal RNA", at positions 524 to 776 of the family's 1533-position model. The record is from RNAcentral.